Molecule: long non-coding RNA, 223 nt
Filed under: Mytilus galloprovincialis (Mediterranean mussel)
Lineage: Eukaryota; Metazoa; Mollusca; Bivalvia; Mytilida; Mytilidae
Source: RNAcentral
UUUUAUUUCGAUAUUACCUCUAUUUCUCCUAUUAGUUCAACAGAAAAAAAGGACGUUUACUAAAAUGCAUGCUUCUUCCAGAGGCAGAUUGUGAGCUUAAAUGAACGGUGACCACAUUUUUUUAUUUCAUUUUUCUUUUAAGUAUAUGAUAAAGUUCAUUUAUAAAAAAAAUAUAGCAAAAUCCUAUAUUAGAAAAAAAAAAUUAUUUAUACCCAGGAGCCCC